RNAcentral lists this ribosomal RNA (400 nucleotides) under Naubates prioni. Its description in RNAcentral is "partial 12S ribosomal RNA". Lineage: Eukaryota; Metazoa; Arthropoda; Insecta; Psocodea; Philopteridae. The record is from RNAcentral.
AAAUAGAACUUUUUGUUUGCGUAAAGUAUAGUUUUGUAAUCUUGAAAAACUAAAUUGCGUGGCGGCUUAACAACUAUAUAGAGAGGCAUGCUUUUUAAUAGAUACUUCACAAACACCUUACCUUAUUUUGUAAUUAGUUCAUUUUGCACACCGCCGUCGGAAGAAUGGUUUAAGAGGACUGUUCUAUGUUUAUGUAUGGUGUAGUAUGUUAUUCAUUUUACCAUACUAAUUUAAAUUUAAGUCAGGUCAAGGCGCAGACUAUAAUUAGGUUAAAGUGUGACUCUAUACUAUUAUUAUGUCUUUAGUGUUUAAUUGCAGUGAUUUUUAUUAUUGAUGAAAUUAUUACUAUAGUAAUUGAAUUUAUAAGUAAAUUUUGUUCAAAAAACAAAUUUGAAUAGAG